GUGUCAGCAGCCGCGGUAAUACGGGGGGGGCAAGCGUUGUUCGGAAUUACUGGGCGUAAAGCGUGCGCAGGCGGUUCUAUAAGACAGAUGUGGAAUCCCCGGGCUCAACCUGGGAACUGCAUUUGUGACUGUAGAGCUGGAGUACGGCAGAGGGGGAUGGAAUUCCGCGUGUAGCAGUGAAAUGCGUAGAUAUGCGGAGGAACACCGAUGGCGAAGGCAAUCCCCUGGGCCUGUACUGACGCUCAUGCACGAAAGCGUGGGGAGCAAACAGGAUUAGAUACCCUCGUAGUCC
This 292-nucleotide ribosomal RNA is filed under the name uncultured bacterium. RNAcentral describes it as "partial 16S ribosomal RNA". It matches the Rfam family "Bacterial small subunit ribosomal RNA", at positions 505 to 796 of the family's 1533-position model. The record is from RNAcentral.